CAGGGUAGAGGUAACCCGCACGGGCGUAGGAGUUCUCUCCACGCCCGUGCACGCAUGUUAAGGGCAGGACAACUAAC
RNAcentral lists this small RNA (77 nucleotides) under Winslowiella iniecta. Its description in RNAcentral is "Erwinia iniecta tpke11". It matches the Rfam family "tpke11". Rfam says of the family: In Yersinia located in ICR upstream dnaJ (chaperone)gene. Has temperature responsive RNA structure. The record is from Rfam by way of RNAcentral. Lineage: Bacteria; Pseudomonadati; Pseudomonadota; Gammaproteobacteria; Enterobacterales; Erwiniaceae.